Molecule: non-coding RNA, 57 nt
Filed under: Blattella germanica (German cockroach)
Lineage: Eukaryota; Metazoa; Arthropoda; Insecta; Blattodea; Blattellidae
Source: RNAcentral
AAAGUAAGGUUCUGCAUAAACUUUUUACUUAAAUAGUGUAUGCAUAACUUUACUACC